This 265-nucleotide ribosomal RNA is filed under the name uncultured Chloroflexota bacterium. RNAcentral describes it as "uncultured Chloroflexi bacterium partial 16S ribosomal RNA". It matches the Rfam family "Bacterial small subunit ribosomal RNA", at positions 338 to 618 of the family's 1533-position model. Lineage: Bacteria; Bacillati; Chloroflexota. The record is from RNAcentral.
CCUACGGGGGGCAGCAGUAAGGGAUAUUGCGACAAUGGGCGAAAGCCUGACGCAGCAACGCCGAGUGUUGGAUGACGGCCUUCGGGUUGUAAACCACUUUUCUGGGGGAAGAGGAAGGACGGUACCCCAGGAAUAAGUCUCGGCUAACUACGUGCCAGCAGCCGCGGUAAAACGUAGGAGGCGAACGUUAUCCGGAUUUACUGGGUGUAAAGCGCGUGCAGGCGGUGGUGUAAGUCGUGUGUGAAAGCCCCAGGCUCAACCGGGC